UAGAGGAAGUAAAAGUCGUAACAAGGUCUCCGUUGGUGAACCAGCGGAGGGAUCAUUACCGAGUUAUACAACUCAUCAACCCUGUGAACAUACCUAAAACGUUGCUUCGGCGGGAACAGACGGCCCCGUAACACGGGCCGCCCCCGCCAGAGGACCCCCUAACUCUGUUUCUAUUAUGUUUCUUCUGAGUAAAACAAGCAAAUAAAUUAAAACUUUCAACAACGGAUCUCUUGGCUCUGGCAUCGAUGAAGAACGCAGCGAAAUGCGAUAAGUAAUGUGAAUUGCAGAAUUCAGUGAAUCAUCGAAUCUUUGAACGCACAUUGCGCCCGCCAGUAUUCUGGCGGGCAUGCCUGUUCGAGCGUCAUUACAACCCUCAGGCCCCCGGGCCUGGCGUUGGGGAUCGGCGAGGCGCCCCCUGCGGGCACACGCCGUCCCCCAAAUACAGUGGCGGUCCCGCCGCAGCUUCCAUUGCGUAGUAGCUAACACCUCGCAACUGGAGAGCGGCGCGGCCACGCCGUAAAACACCCAACUUCUGAAUGUUGACCUCGAAUCAGGUAGGAAUACCCGCUGAACUUAAGCAUAUC
Molecule: ribosomal RNA, 584 nt
Filed under: Fusarium sp. Sn267
Lineage: Eukaryota; Fungi; Ascomycota; Sordariomycetes; Hypocreales; Nectriaceae
Description: eukaryotic LSU rRNA
Rfam family: 5.8S ribosomal RNA (bases 211-364)
Source: RNAcentral